GUGGGGAAUAUUGGACAAUGGGGGGAACCCUGAUCCAGCCAUGCCGCGUGUGUGAAGAAGGCCUUUUGGUUGUAAAGCACUUUAAGCGAGGAGGAGGCUACCGAGAUUAAUACUCUUGGAUAGUGGACGUUACUCGCAGAAUAAGCACCGGCUAACUCUGUGCCAGCAGCCGCGGUAAUACAGAGGGUGCAAGCGUUAAUCGGAUUUACUGGGCGUAAAGCGCGCGUAGGUGGCCAAUUAAGUCAAAUGUGAAAUCCCCGAGCUUAACUUGGGAAUUGCAUUCGAUACUGGUUGGCUAGAGUAUGGGAGAGGAUGGUAGAAUUCCAGGUGUAGCGGUGAAAUGCGUAGAGAUUUGGAGGAAUACCGAUGGCGAAGGCAGCCAUCUGGCCUAAUACUGACACUGAGGUGCGAAAGCAUGGGGAGCAAACAGGAUUAGAUACCCCGGUAGUCC
This 451-nucleotide ribosomal RNA is filed under the name uncultured bacterium. RNAcentral's name for it is "partial 16S ribosomal RNA". It matches the Rfam family "Bacterial small subunit ribosomal RNA", at positions 354 to 796 of the family's 1533-position model. The record is from RNAcentral.